GGGUUAAAGCUCAGUAGGUAGAGCGGCACGCUGUUAACGUGAUGGUCGAGAGUUCGAGUCUCUCCUGGGGCG
Molecule: transfer RNA, 72 nt
Filed under: Candidatus Aenigmatarchaeota archaeon
Lineage: Archaea; Nanobdellati; Candidatus Aenigmatarchaeota
Description: tRNA-Asn
Rfam family: tRNA (bases 8-64)
About the family: Transfer RNA (tRNA) molecules are approximately 80 nucleotides in length.
Source: RNAcentral